RNAcentral lists this ribosomal RNA (253 nucleotides) under uncultured bacterium. Its description in RNAcentral is "partial 16S ribosomal RNA". It matches the Rfam family "Bacterial small subunit ribosomal RNA", at positions 524 to 776 of the family's 1533-position model. The record is from RNAcentral.
UACGUAGGGGGCAAGCGUUGUCCGGAUUUAUUGGGCGUAAAGCGCGCGUAGGCGGGGAGGAAAGUCUGCUGUGAAAGCCUGAGGCUCAACCUCAGCGGGUCGGUGGAUACUUCCUUUCUUGAAGGUGCUAGGGGGAGAUGGAAUUACCGGUGUAGCGGUGAAAUGCGUAGAUAUCAAGAGGAACACCUGCGGCGAAGGCGGGUUGCUGGGCUGACACUGACGCUGAGGCGCGAAAGCUAGGGGAGCGAACGGG